RNAcentral lists this ribosomal RNA (555 nucleotides) under uncultured bacterium. RNAcentral describes it as "bacterial SSU rRNA". It matches the Rfam family "Bacterial small subunit ribosomal RNA", at positions 567 to 1116 of the family's 1533-position model. The record is from RNAcentral.
GCGCGUAGGCGGUCUGUUAAGUGUAGAGUGAAAUCUCCAGGGCUCAACCCGGAAACUGCUCUGCAUACUGGCAGACUUGAUGAUUGCAGAGGUUUGUGGAAUUCCCGGUGUAACGGUGAAAUGCGUUAAUAUCGGGAGGAACACCCAUGGCAAAGGCAGCAAACUGGGCAAUAUCUGACGCUGAGGCGCGAAAGCGUGGGUAGCAAACAGGAUUAAAUACCCUGGUAGUCCACGCCCUAAACAAUGGAUACUAGGCGUAAGAGGUAUCGACCCCUCUUGUGCCGCAGCUAACGCACUAAGUAUCCCGCCUGGGGACUACGGCCGCAAGGUUGAAACUCAAAUGAAUUGACGGGGACCCGCACAAGCGGUGGAGCAUGUGGAUUAAUUCGAUAUUAACCGAAGAACCUUACCCAGACUUGACAUCGAUCGCAAGCCUUAAAAAUAGGGCCCUCUCUCACAAGGAGACGUGAAGACACUUGUUGCAUGGCUGUCGUCAGCUCGUGCCGUGAGGUGUACGGUUAAGUCCGCCAACGAGCGCAACCCUCGUCCUGUGUU